Molecule: ribosomal RNA, 408 nt
Filed under: Fusobacteriota bacterium
Lineage: Bacteria; Fusobacteriati; Fusobacteriota
Description: Fusobacteria bacterium partial 16S ribosomal RNA
Rfam family: Bacterial small subunit ribosomal RNA
Source: RNAcentral
UGGGGAAUAUUGCACAAUGGACGGAAGUCUGAUGCAGCAACGCCGCGUGCGGGAUGACGGCCUUCGGGUUGUAAACCGCUUUUUCUCAUGACGAAGUUUUUUGACGGUAGUGGGGGAAGAAGCACCGGCUAACUACGUGCCAGCAGCCGCGGUGAUACGUAGGGUGCGAGCGUUGUCCGGAAUUAUUGGGCGUAAAGAGCUUGUAGGCGGUUUGUCGCGUCGAUAGUGCAAACUCAGUGCUUAACGCCGAGCCUGCUGUUGAUACGGGCAGACUAGAGGAAGGUAGGGGAGAAUGGAAUUCCCGGUGGAGCGGUGGAAUGCGCAGAUAUCGGGAGGAACACCGGUGGCGAAGGCGGUUCUCUGGGCCUUUCCUGACGCUGAGAAGCGAAAGCGUGGGGAGCGAACAGG